This 213-nucleotide ribosomal RNA is filed under the name Triticum aestivum (bread wheat). RNAcentral's name for it is "partial small subunit ribosomal RNA". The record is from RNAcentral. Lineage: Eukaryota; Viridiplantae; Streptophyta; Magnoliopsida; Poales; Poaceae.
AUGCCGAUGUUCGCUCUCAUGGUGUUGAGGGCACCGAAGAAGUUUUUCAAGGAGGUAGAUAAAGCUAGACAUCGUUUCCUGUGGGCGCAAGAUGAAGAGGUGACCGGAGGAAAGUGCAAGGUUGCAUGGAGCGCGGUCACCGCGCCGGAGUCCCACGGAGGCCUCAUCAUCCAUGAUCUGGACAAGUUCGCGUGCGCCCUCCGCCUGCACUAG